CUUGAGGCGUGCAGAUGACGAAGCUUGAGGCGUGCAGAGAUGACGUAGGGGGAACCGUUUUGGACGUUUGUUUUGUUCGUUAAUCGGAACAUUUUUCUCUUUUGGUUCCAUUGCUCAGAAAGGUUGUUCAAAAGGUCCUGAUACUGCAGGUCCGAAGGAAAACAGCUAAUUGAGAAAAUGCCGCCUCUUGAAACGAAUAUAGCGGUGGAAACAGAAGAGAUAGUAAGGAUUAAGUAUCAUAUCGCACCAGAGCUUAAGGACCUAUGCUUGAUGAUAAAAAGUGCUGUUGUCGGAGCACUUGAAAAGUGUGAGGGAGCUGAGAGAACAGAAAUGUUCAAGUCUGAUGGGGCACAAAAUCGAAUUACUGAAGUGAACGCAAAACGAGAAAUUUUCACAGCAUGCAGGAAAAAAAAAAAAGAAAGAGAAAUCAAGUAAAGAGAAGAAGGAAGACCUCGAUGGCCUGUGGUAAAAUCUACGCGUAAUAGGAAUACCUGAAACAGAGGACAAAGCAAAUGAAGCUGAAACUGUAAUUAAGGAACUAACUGAAGAAAAAUGUUCAGAGUUAAAAAAGAAACUAGAUCUAGAAGUAGAAAAGGCUUGCAGGGUACCAUUAAGUUUAAGUGAAAAGAAAGCAGUACCUAGAUAUAUCCUGCUAGUAUUUUUAAAUUGGAAAGGUAAAGAAAAAAAGUCCACAAGUAUCCCAGAGAAGACAAGCCACUUAUAAAGGGAUGAAAGUUAGCCUGACCUCAUACUUUUCCCUUGCAACUGUAAAUGCCAGAAAACAAUACCUACAGUUUCUGCUCAGAGGCUCAGUCUUAUCCUGCUCUUUACGACCCCAUGGACUAUCAGACUCCUCUGACCGUGGGAUUCUCCCAGCAGGAAUAGUGGAGUGGGGUGCCAUUUUCUCCUCCAGGGGUCUUCCCCACCCCAGGAUGGAACAGGUGUCUCUUUUCCCUCAUUCAUUGGCAGGCGGAUUCUUUACCACCUGGGAAGCCCAUCUAUGGUUUUAAGGGAGAAUAGUUUUGAACCAAUUCAAUAUCCUGACAAGUUAUUUCUGUACCAAGGCAACUGGAAGCAUUCACAGAUAUGCAGAGGCUGAGAAAGUGUAUCUUUUAAGUACUGCCCUUGAAAACUUUGUUAAAUGAUGUACUGCAGCCAACAAAAAACAUGGAUUAAAAUAAUAAGAGUGAGGAGGCAAUAGUAUAAAAAAAUUGGUGGUAAGGUUUAGUUAAACAGCCUUAAGUUUACAGUGUUAGGUAGAAUUAUAAAACUAAAUGCAAAAAUAAAUAUGUGAACUGGGUCUAAAAUUUCAGCUUAUAAGCUUAAAAGGCAUGCUAAAUGUUCAAUAUGUAAAACAAAAACAUACACUUUUAUUUUUAGCAUGUAAAGAUAUGCAUGUUCUUAAGUUAAACAUGUAAAAUAAAAGGACUUUGUCACUGUGGACAGAACCUGUAGAAUAAAGGGAUAUCAAAUGUUAACCUGAGAAAAUGGGAAAACCAAUAGUACAGUCUUGUUUCCUCUAGUUUUAGUUACAGAAGGGGGAAAGUAGCAAACUUGUAAUGCUAAUACUAGUAAAGUGAAAAGAAAAUUUAUAAAUUAUUAACUGGUGUGGUAGUGGAUUGAAACCUUGUUUAAAGUACAUCUUGCCUGUGGAAAAUCAGUACCUACUGCUUUAUGUAGUAGAUCAUUGUAGGUAAAUUUGACAAUAAAUGUUACAAAUAGAGAGUACAUAUUCAAAUUGUAGAGGAAUUGGUGAAAAAGAGCAAGGAAGCAUUAAAAUUGGCAUAAGAUAGAUUGAUACAGGUACUGCUGAGUUACCACACUCAAACUGGUUAAAUGUUCCUAUUUUAAAAGAUUGAAACUGGGUCAAAAAUCAAUCUAUAACCCUGGAUACUCAAAUUUGUAGAAAACAAACUGUAAGAGUUUAAAGAUAAUGAAAACAAUAAGUCAUAGAAAUGCAAGUAGGGAGCAAUAUUUUUAUUAGACAACUCAAGCUAUAACAUAUUUAUAAAAUAUACAGUACAGGUUGUAAUAUUUAGGAUGCUUUAUGUGGUAGAUAACCUGGCAUUCAUUGUAAAAUAAAUGUUCAAUACCUU
Long non-coding RNA from Odocoileus virginianus texanus, 2096 nucleotides. RefSeq lists it as uncharacterized. Lineage: Eukaryota; Metazoa; Chordata; Mammalia; Artiodactyla; Cervidae. The record is from RefSeq and is a predicted model, not a curated record.